UUUAUUAGAUGCAACUGUCUGUGUGUUCAAUGCUGCAAAUCUCAGGCUACGAUGUCGUAUUAAUCCUACUGCUUACCUUCCUGCCAGUGUCAGCAAUUCUAAUGUACACCCCCUUGUGAUUGCGGCACAUCCACAAGAGCCAAAUCAGUUUGCAUUGGGAUUAUCUGAUGGUGGAGUGUGUGUUUUUGAGCCCCUUGAAUCCGAAGGCAAAUGGGGUGUGCCACCACCUGUUGAGAAUGGAUCAGCUAGUAGUGUGCCAGCUACACCUUCAGUUGGACCUUCAGGUUCAGAUCAACCCCAAAGAUGAUCAAACGGCUGCCAGAGCACAAGUUCUUUUACAUGCUUGGCUUACUGGCACUCUAAAUUUAGAUUUUCAGGAUAUGUAAUUUACUCAAGGAUUGAAAUCUGUUGAUGUAGAUCUAACUUAUUGGGGUAAGGUUCUGCUUGAGGUAAAUGCUGUAGAAGAAUUAAUAGUGAAAUAUUUUUUCUUUUUAAAAAGAAAUUUCUUUGAGGAAGUCUUUCUUCUCUCUUCUUUGUUAACAUUUUGCUUCAAUUAUUGAAUAGUAAUGCUUUUUUAUGCAUCGAACGGAGUCAUGUCUGAAAUGUACAUUACUUGGAUUUCCUUUCAGUCCUCUCCUCUUUUUAUGAACUGCCACCAGUUGAUAGCAAAAUUCAAUUUCAAGGGGCAUCCAGAUAUGGUAUCAACUCUCUGUUUUUGGAAUUGUAAUUAUACGUUCUAUGAACAACUCCACUUUUUCUC
Molecule: long non-coding RNA, 760 nt
Organism: Vitis vinifera (wine grape)
Lineage: Eukaryota; Viridiplantae; Streptophyta; Magnoliopsida; Vitales; Vitaceae
Exons: 3
Source: RefSeq, a predicted model, not a curated record